RNAcentral lists this ribosomal RNA (449 nucleotides) under uncultured bacterium. RNAcentral's name for it is "partial 16S ribosomal RNA". It matches the Rfam family "Bacterial small subunit ribosomal RNA", at positions 29 to 523 of the family's 1533-position model. The record is from RNAcentral.
AACGAACGCUGGCGGCAGGCUUAACACAUGCAAGUCGAACGCCCUAGCAAUAGGGAGUGGCGCACGGGUGAGUAACGCGUGGGAAUAUACCGUUUAGUGGGGAAUAACGUUGGGAAACUAACGCUAAUACCGCAUACGCCCGAGAGGGGAAAGAUUUAUCGCUAAACGAUUAGCCCGCGUGAGAUUAGGUAGUUGGUGGGGUAAUGGCCUACCAAGCCUACGAUCUCUAGCUGGUCUGAGAGGAUGAUCAGCCACACUGGAACUGAGACACGGUCCAGACUCCUACGGGAGGCAGCAGUGGGGAAUAUUGGACAAUGGGCGCAAGCCUGAUCCAGCCAUGCCGCGUGAGUGAUGAAGGCCUUAGGGUUGUAAAGCUCUUUCGCCGAUGAAGAUAAUGACGGUAGUCGGAGAAGAUGCCCCGGCUAACUUCGUGCCAGCCGCCGCAGUAA